Molecule: ribosomal RNA, 477 nt
Filed under: uncultured bacterium
Lineage: Bacteria
Description: bacterial SSU rRNA
Rfam family: Bacterial small subunit ribosomal RNA
Source: RNAcentral
AUUGAACGCUGGCGGCAUGCCUAACACAUGCAAGUCGAACGCGAAAGGGUUUCGGCCUGAGUAGAGUGGCGGACGGGUGAGUAAAGCGUGGGAAUCUGCCUUGCAGUGGGGGACAACCCGGGGAAACUCGGGCUAAUACCGCAUGUGACCUAAGGGUGAAAGGGGGCCUUUUGGCUCUCGCUGCAAGAUGAGCCCACGUCCGAUUAGCUAGUUGGUAGGGUAAAGGCCUACCAAGGCCACGAUCGGUAGCUGGUCUGAGAGGAUGAUCAGCCACACUGGGACUGAGACACGGCCCAGACUCCUACGGGAGGCAGCAGUGGGGAAUAUUGGACAAUGGGCGCAAGCCUGAUCCAGCAAUGCCGCGUGUGUGAAGAAGGCCUGCGGGUUGUAAAGCACUUUCAGUGGGGAAGAACAGAUUCGGGUCAAUACCCCGGAGCCCUGACGUUACCCACAGAAGAAGCACCGGCUAACUCCGUG